GGGGAUUUAGCUCAGUGGUAGAGCGCUUGCCUAGCAAGCGCAAGGCCAUGGGUUCAGUCCCCA
Non-coding RNA from Rattus norvegicus (Norway rat), 63 nucleotides. The record is from Rfam. Lineage: Eukaryota; Metazoa; Chordata; Mammalia; Rodentia; Muridae.